RNAcentral lists this ribosomal RNA (505 nucleotides) under uncultured bacterium. RNAcentral describes it as "partial 16S ribosomal RNA". It matches the Rfam family "Bacterial small subunit ribosomal RNA", at positions 28 to 507 of the family's 1533-position model. The record is from RNAcentral.
GACGAACGCUGGCGGCGUGCCUAAUACAUGCAAGUAGAACGCACAGUUUAUACCGUAGCUUGCUACACCAUAGACUGUGAGUUGCGAACGGGUGAGUAACGCGUAGGUAACCUGCCUGGUAGCGGGGGAUAACUAUUGGAAACGAUAGCUAAUACCGCAUAAUAUUAAUUAUUGCAUGAUAAUUAAUUGAAAGGUGCAAUUGCACCACUACCAGAUGGACCUGCGUUGUAUUAGCUAGUAGGUGAGGUAACGGCUCACCUAGGCGACGAUACAUAGCCGACCUGGGAGGGUGAUCGGCCACACUGGGACUGAGACACGGCCCAGACUCCUACGGGAGGCAGCAGUAGGGAAUCUUCGGCAAUGGACGAAAGUCUGACCGAGCAACGCCGCGUGAGUGAAGAAGGUUUUCGGAUCGUAAAGCUCUGUUGUAAGAGAAGAACGGGUGUGAGAGUGGAAAGUUCACACUGUGACGGUAUCUGACCAGAAAGGGACGGCUAACUACGCG